This 621-nucleotide long non-coding RNA is filed under the name Malurus cyaneus samueli. Its description in RNAcentral is "lncRNA (ENSMCSG00000013841.1)". Lineage: Eukaryota; Metazoa; Chordata; Aves; Passeriformes; Maluridae. The record is from RNAcentral.
CUGACCCCUGAGCCCUCUGAGGGCUGGAACAGCUGUGAGUGGGACUGGGAGCCAAGGUCUCACUCCAGAACACUGUGACAGCAGCACAGUGUCCCUCAGCUCUGCCGAGUGCCACCAUCCCGUCCUGCUGUCAUUGCAGAGCUGUUAUCUACUUCAACAUCCAGAUGGUGAGAGGCCUCCAGAGGGUCAUCUGCCUGCUCCAGAAGCAGAUUGCCAACGAAGGGGAAGAUAAGGGAUUUCUCAUUCAGAAGCUUCAUUCUAUUUACAAGCAGAGAGACAGCCAUUCCUGAAUCCCAGGGCACAGCUCCAUGCAGGACUGCCUCACCAGCACAGCCAUUCUCCGUGGGAGCUCACUGCUUGCAGAGAACAUCUCUUCGACUCUCUGUCCCGCCAACACACCUUGGGCUGUUUUCAGAAUCCUCUGGAGACCUUGGAGCUUUCUCCACAACCCCCUUCCCACUGCCAAGGGGCAGCAAGCACGGAGCCAGGAGCUGUAACAGCCGUGACCCCGCUCCAGCCCAGUGCCUGGCUCAGCAGGACAGCAGCUAGCCAGUCCCAGUCCCAGUCCCAGUCCCACAAACAGGUCACUGGGCCACCCGUGGCAGCCCUGCAGUGCUGCUG